RNAcentral lists this ribosomal RNA (401 nucleotides) under uncultured bacterium. RNAcentral's name for it is "bacterial SSU rRNA". It matches the Rfam family "Bacterial small subunit ribosomal RNA", at positions 355 to 772 of the family's 1533-position model. The record is from RNAcentral.
UGAGGAAUAUUCGUCAAUGGGGGAAACCCUGAACGAGCAACGCCGCGUGCAGGAUGACGGUCUUCGGAUUGUAAACUGCUUUUUUCGAGGAAGAGUACGGACGGUACUCGAAGAAUCAGCCCCGGCUAACUACGUGCCAGCAGCCGCGGUAAUACGUAGGGGGCGAGCGUUAUCCGGAGUUACUGGGCGUAAAGCGUCCGCAGGCGGUCCGGUAAGUUUGAAGUGACAGUGCUCGGCUUAACUGAGUAAGUGCUUUGAAAACUGCCAGACUUGAGGGUCCGAGAGGAAGAUGGAAUUCCAGGUGGAGCGGUGAAAUGCGUAGAGAUCUGGAGGAACACCAAAGGCGAAGGCAAUCUUCUGGAGGACACCUGACGCUAAGGGACGAAAGCCAGGGGAGCGAA